CUACGGGAUGGCUGCAGUGGGGAAUAUUGCACAAUGGAGGAAACUCUGAUGCAGCAACGCCGCGUGGAGGAUGACACUUUUCGGAGCGUAAACUCCUUUUAUAUAGGAAGAAGAUGACGGUACUAUAUGAAUAAGCGCCGGCUAACUCCGUGCCAGCAGCCGCGGUAAUACGGAGGGCGCAAGCGUUACUCGGAAUCACUGGGCGUAAAGAGCGUGUAGGCGGAUUAAAAAGUCAGAAGUGAAAUCCUAUAGCUUAACUAUAGAACUGCUUCUGAAACUCUUAAUCUAGAAUAUGGGAGAGGUAGAUGGAAUUUCUGGUGUAGGGGUAAAAUCCGUGGAGAUCAGAAGGAAUACCGAUUGCGAAGGCGAUCUACUAGAACAUUAUUGACGCUGAGACGCGAAAGCGUGGGGAGCAAACAGGAUUAGAUACCCUAGUAGUC
Molecule: ribosomal RNA, 440 nt
Filed under: uncultured bacterium
Lineage: Bacteria
Description: partial 16S ribosomal RNA
Rfam family: Bacterial small subunit ribosomal RNA
Source: RNAcentral